RNAcentral lists this ribosomal RNA (1062 nucleotides) under Triticum aestivum (bread wheat). RNAcentral's name for it is "partial small subunit ribosomal RNA". Lineage: Eukaryota; Viridiplantae; Streptophyta; Magnoliopsida; Poales; Poaceae. The record is from RNAcentral.
AUGUACAGGAAGAGGACGCUUUGGGCUGCAUCAUAUUUGUCUGGUGGGUUUUUCCUUGGUAUGCGCAGUAAUCAGAGGAGUGAGAGUCUGAACUCCAGCCUGCACCUUCAUCUUGACUAUGGUAUGACAAUUGUUGACAUGAUUGUACACUACGAGAAUUGUAUUGUUCGCCUCCGUGAGAAUGAAGCUUAUGAUGACUACACGGCCUCACAGACUCUUCCAGUAACAGUGACUGAGUGUCAGGCCAUUGAGUCGUAUGCUGCGAAAGCAUUCACGCAGGCAAACUUUUAUAUGUUGCAACAAGAUAUGAAGAAGGUACAGGAGCUUGAGGUAAUUGAUAGACUGACAGGGACCGGUAGUCAGAGAUUUGUGGUUGCGUGGAAGAAUAACAUGGAUCACAGAUUUAAUGUGGACUAUACGCCAGGUAACUCGGCAGAAACUAUAAAGUGCAGUUGCCGAAGUAUGACUCGCAAAGGGCUUCCUUGCAAGCAUAUUAUUCAUGUUUUGAAUGCACUGAACUUACCUGUGAUACCCAAGUGUUGUGUCCUGCGAAGAUUCUCAAAAAAAGCACGAGCUGGACUGCCAGUGAAGCGCACCAGCGAUUUGUUUGCGUGGGGUUGGUCGAGUGGUGAGGACAGAGCUAGAUAUAGUGAGUUGACCAUUAAAUCUUCAGAAGCCUGUCAUGUCGCAUGCAGUAAUCCUUUCUUAUUCGACAAGUUGAUGGCAGCUCUGGAUGAUAUUAUAGUGAAUAAGGAUAUUCAGGGAAAUGAAGAUGAUAUUCAGCGAAGCUUCGUGAACAGUAAUCCAUUUGAGCCUAACCGAGAUCAUAUUCUGGUUCGUGAUCCAGUAAAGAUUUCCACCAAGGGCGCACCUAAGCAGAACAGUAGAGGUCGCGGUAAGGGUGGCCCAGAUGUGACAAAAAAUGAGAGGCCUAAAGCAUUUGACGAGAAAUCUGGACGAAAAUGUAGCAUAUGCAGCGGCUCAGGUCAUAACAGGAGCACAUGCAGCAAAAAUGAAGAGUAUGUCUAUUAUUUGUUUAUGUCAGUUUUGUUGUUUCAUUAA